CCACAUCAAACAGACAAUAGAGACAGAGGAAGAGGAGGGGGGAUGAAAGAAUGGGAGAGAGAGACUGGCAGAAGAGAGACCCGGGGAGCGAGGCCCGUUUAAAUGGGAAUAAUAAGCUUCUAUCUCAGGCAAUUAAGUCUGCAUUUGAUACUUAUCUCAGAGCAGAGGUCCACUGUGCCAUCUAAAGAAAAUGUUUGCGUUUGAAAAACUCCAUCACAUAAACAAGAUAAGCAGGAGAACACGUUUGCGUGCCGCCUGUCGGACCAAACCUCGGCUUUGUUCUUGGUGGAUACGUUUCUCUGAGGCAGGUUUACUGGACCACAUGCUGCUGGUUCCAGAAAGGCAGAAAACGGUCGGGACAUGGAGGCCCCUCUGACGCUCAGAGCCAACGCCACCUCGAGGUCACGACCCCGGCCAGAGUUCACGGGGUCGGGUCAAUCAGAGGGGAAUGUUAUCCAAAGCAUCACAGUUUAUUUGUUUAAUUUUUCUUCAAACCCCGGUGUCUGCCUCUGAUCAAGAUGACGGUGGAUUACUCGAAGAGGAGGAGAGAAAAUUGAAGGAGAGAGAGAGCCUACUGCUUCAAAUUAGGAGGGUUUUUGAUUGCACGCUGCCAACUUUACCUCGACAUCCCAGAAGGCAGAUGGAGUAUUAAGUAAUGACCAAUACAAGUUGGAAAUGGAACGACGAGCACAGAAACACCAUCGACACAAGAGUUUAAGGCCUCACCCUUCACGGCCCUCUGAAACCCGAGCCCACAGAUUGAUGGGGGGCCGACUCUCAUUUGGACCGGGAGAAAAAGUGGCCACUUUAAGGGCAGCUACUGUAUUUUAAACACCACGGGUGUUAAAGAGACUGAUGAGCCUGGUGGCAGCAGUGGAUGCUUGGGAACGCCAUUGAGAGAAAAGGGGGUAGAGGAAGGGGGGGGAGGAGGAGGGGAAUAAAUCUGCGUGUUGGCGGGAAUCGAUCGUUUCUCCCUCUUCCCCGCGCUAUCUCAUCUGCAGGGGCUGAGAGCGGUUUAAACGAUCCUGACCUUGUCCGACAUAAAUAGUCAGAAAAGUCCACAGAGCUGAUAGCUUUGUGUAAGGGGGGGAGAAAAGAGGUAAGGGGACGCAUUGAGAUAAGAAGGGGGGGUUGAAUGAGAUAAUGCCAUAGCGUUACUACAUCAGAGUCCAUGUCGCUCACAUGCAAAGACUUCGCCGUGGGAAAAAGCCUUGCUUCCUGUCUCCCCCUCCUUCUUCCCUAUCUCUCCCUCAUUCAGAUCAGAAAAAGAAGGGAGUGAAGAAUAACCAUAGUGAAAAAAACAAGCAGGCAUUUUUAUAUAAAUACUUGGGUGUAAUGAUAGAAUAUCUUCUAUCCUAGAAAGAACAAAUUGAAUAGAUAUGCAAAAGAACAAAACUAAGAAUGUAGUUUCUCCUUCGCCUUAGAUCUUUUUACAAUCAAAUGUACAUCUUUGAUUUUGAGUGUAUUGAGUGAUUUUACAGUAUUGUAAUACUACAUCUGAAAAUCUACCCAAAGAUUGUAAAAACUCUAUGAACCACCUCACAAUAAUAAUGUUUUGAGGCUUGCUAACAACAUUGUUUUUGAUCCAAACAUGUCCCAAACAGUGAAUAUGAAUUGUUCACCAUCAGGGUCCCAUGAACUUUUAAUAAAUCAUGAGUCAGGGUCCCAUGAUUUAUUAAAAGUUAGACUUAAGCCCACUUUAGUGCACCAGUUAAUACUAAAAUUAAAUUCAGUCAAUCAAAUGGACGUUAAAUGGUAUUGAACGUACUGUCCUCAGUGAUUCUGAUGUUUGGUCAAAUAUCAGUUUACUUGUUUUGUAAUAUUUGUGUGAUGCUCGAAACACGUUAGACUACAUCUGACAGUAAAGAAUUAUCAUAUCGUAGGAGGAGGAAAGUCUUUACUCGUCACCUUUCUCGCCAUGAUUACCUGAAAGAAGGAUGGAGGAAGUCAAUUGGCUCCCAUGAACACCCCUUCUGCACUCCUGAGGAAGACGUGAGUGUUUUAAAGUAAGAAAGGAGCUCUUUUGUGCAGCGCCCCUCUUCUUUUCUUUUGAGUGUAAUGCCGCUGUACCUGACAGUGGCGCUGCCCCGGGUAAAGGCAGAAAUCUCUCCCUCCAUUGUCACCUGUUCCUCUAAUCAUUUUCCGCCCUUCAUGCCACAAUGGAGGAGGGCGAUAACGAUAACGAGGUGAAGCUAAUACAGAGCGGCGGCGGGGCCCCUGAACACAAUGAUCAGAUGUCUUCACUCGUUCUGCACACUCACACACCGUUAUACCUUUUAAUGCAGAACUACACACAUUUAGUAUUUUCUCUUCAGUCAGACUCACACAGCCAUUUCAUUAGAGCGCAAACUGUCAAACCACCCUCACAUACAGCUUCACACUUUACACAGUUUCAUUGUGAAAUAUAAUAACAGAAUAAUAACAUUGUGUAUUUUUUUUCUGUGCUUUGUUUGAAGUAGUGGCUUUUAACUGGCUGCUGGUUUGAGUCCUGGUAUUGCGUAGCAAAAUGUCUGAAAAGCAGGGCCUCAACGCUAACCUGGUUACCAUGAUCUUUGUGCCAAAAGCAAACAUAUAAGGUCUUAAACUGUGAGAUGAAGAUUAAAGAUCGAGUUAUAU
Trematomus bernacchii (emerald rockcod) is the source of this 2616-nucleotide long non-coding RNA. RefSeq lists it as uncharacterized. The record is from RefSeq and is a predicted model, not a curated record. Lineage: Eukaryota; Metazoa; Chordata; Actinopteri; Perciformes; Nototheniidae. The transcript has 5 exons.